Molecule: ribosomal RNA, 360 nt
Filed under: Pseudochrobactrum asaccharolyticum
Lineage: Bacteria; Pseudomonadati; Pseudomonadota; Alphaproteobacteria; Hyphomicrobiales; Brucellaceae
Also listed under: 1 other name
Description: bacterial SSU rRNA
Rfam family: Bacterial small subunit ribosomal RNA
Source: RNAcentral
CAGUGGGGAAUAUUGGACAAUGGGCGCAAGCCUGAUCCAGCCAUGCCGCGUGAGUGAUGAAGGCCCUAGGGUUGUAAAGCUCUUUCACCGGUGAAGAUAAUGACGGUAACCGGAGAAGAAGCCCCGGCUAACUUCGUGCCAGCAGCCGCGGUAAUACGAAGGGGGCUAGCGUUGUUCGGAUUUACUGGGCGUAAAGCGCACGUAGGCGGACUUUUAAGUCAGGGGUGAAAUCCCGGGGCUCAACCCCGGAACUGCCUUUGAUACUGGAAGUCUUGAGUAUGGAAGAGGUAAGUGGAAUUGCGAGUGUAGAGGUGAAAUUCGUAGAUAUUCGCAGGAACACCAGUGGCGAAGGCGGCUUAC